Molecule: ribosomal RNA, 417 nt
Filed under: uncultured bacterium
Lineage: Bacteria
Description: bacterial SSU rRNA
Rfam family: Bacterial small subunit ribosomal RNA
Source: RNAcentral
UAUUGGUCAAUGGGCGGGAGCCUGAACCAGCCAAGCCGCGUGAGGGAAGACGGUCCUACGGACUGUAAAUCUCUUUCGCCGGGGAGCAACGGGGUCCUUGCGAGGGCCAAAUGAGAGUACCCGGAGAAAAAGCAUAGGCUAACUCCGUGCCAGCAGCCGCGGUAAUACGGAGGAUGCGUGCGUUAUCCGGAUUUAUUGGGUUUAAAGGGUGCGUAGGCGGGCUGUUAAGUCAGCGGUCAAAUGUCGGGGCUCAACCCCGGCCUGCCGUUGAAACUGGCGGCCUCGAGUGGGCGAGAAGUAUGCGGAAUGCGUGGUGUAGCGGUGAAAUGCAUAGAUAUCACGCAGAACUCCGAUUGCGAAGGCAGCAUACCGGCGCCCUACUGACGCUGAGGCACGAAAGCGUGGGUAUCGAACAGG